Molecule: ribosomal RNA, 445 nt
Filed under: uncultured bacterium
Lineage: Bacteria
Description: partial 16S ribosomal RNA
Rfam family: Bacterial small subunit ribosomal RNA
Source: RNAcentral
GUAAGGAAUAUUGGUCAAUGGGCGGAAGCCUGAACCAGCCAUGCCGCGUGCAGGACGACGGCCCUACGGGUUGUAAACUGCUUUUGCCCGGGAAUAACCCCCCGCUCUUGAGCGGGGCUGAACGUACCGGGAGAAUAAGGAUCGGCUAACUCCGUGCCAGCAGCCGCGGUAAUACGGAGGAUCCGAGCGUUAUCCGGAUUUAUUGGGUUUAAAGGGUGCGUAGGCGGCCUGUUAAGUCAGGGGUGAAAUACGGCAGCUCAACUGGCGCAGUGCCCUUGAUACUGACGGGAUUGAAUACCGGUGAAGGCGGCGGAAUGAGACAAGUAGCGGUGAAAUGCAUAGAUAUGUCUCAGAACCCCGAUUGCGAAGGCAGCUGCCUAACCGGCGAUUGACGCUGAUGCACGAAAGCGUGGGGAUCGAACAGGAUUAGAAACCCUUGUAGUCC